GACGAACGCUGGCGGCGUGCUUAACACAUGCAAGUCGAACGAAGAGCGAUGGAAGCUUGCUUCUAUCAAUCUUAGUGGCGAACGGGUGAGUAACGCGUAAUCAACCUGCCCUUCAGAGGGGGACAACAGUUGGAAACGACUGCUAAUACCGCAUACGAUCUAAUCUCGGCAUCGAGGAUAGAUGAAAGGUGGCCUCUACAUGUAAGCUAUCACUGAAGGAGGGGAUUGCGUCUGAUUAGCUAGUUGGAGGGGUAACGGCCCACCAAGGCGAUGAUCAGUAGCCGGUCUGAGAGGAUGAACGGCCACAUUGGGACUGAGACACGGGCCAGACUCCUACGGGAGGCAGCAGUGGGGAAUCUUCCGCAAUGGACGGAAGUCUGACGGAGCAACGCCGCGUGAGUGAUGACGGCCUUCGGGUUAUAAAGCUCUGUUAAUCGGGACGAAAGGCCUUCUUGCGAAUAGUGAGAAGGAUUGACGGUACCGGAAUAGAAAGCCACGGCUAACUACGUGC
RNAcentral lists this ribosomal RNA (511 nucleotides) under uncultured Veillonella sp. RNAcentral describes it as "bacterial SSU rRNA". It matches the Rfam family "Bacterial small subunit ribosomal RNA", at positions 28 to 508 of the family's 1533-position model. Lineage: Bacteria; Bacillati; Bacillota; Negativicutes; Veillonellales; Veillonellaceae. The record is from RNAcentral.